RNAcentral lists this long non-coding RNA (299 nucleotides) under Ananas comosus (pineapple). Its description in RNAcentral is "long non-coding RNA (ACOM_LNC043622)". The record is from RNAcentral. Lineage: Eukaryota; Viridiplantae; Streptophyta; Magnoliopsida; Poales; Bromeliaceae.
UGUUUCCGAUGCGGUCAACUGGGGCAUUUGAGCCUAGACUGCCCGGGCAGCGCAUCCCCAGCUCCAUCGUCAGCUUCAGUUCAGUACACUCAGCGACAGCUGGCGGGACUGCCACCCGCGGUGUCUGCUGGGCGACCAUCGGCGCCUCGACAGCAGGAGUCCUCUCGAGCACCUAGUGGGCGGGUUUUUGCAACUCAGGUGGGGGAGCAGCUGAUUUCAGUUCCCGACAAUGUCGUGGCAGGUAUUAUCCUUAUCAGAGGCACUAGAGCUACAGCCAUAUUUGACACAAGUGCAUCUCA